RNAcentral lists this long non-coding RNA (776 nucleotides) under Mytilus galloprovincialis (Mediterranean mussel). Lineage: Eukaryota; Metazoa; Mollusca; Bivalvia; Mytilida; Mytilidae. The record is from RNAcentral.
GCUUAUCAUACUUCUUUCUCCGUACAAAAAAUCAAAAUCUGACUAACCUGUGGUUAUUGAACAUACCAAAUUGUUUAAGUCGCACGAUUUUUCUUAAAGCGAAAUUUUGAACCCAUGAAAGAUUGUUUCGGUUGUUUUGCUUUGUGAAACAGUUCUUUCAAUCCUUUGCCUCACUUAAACCAGUUUAAAAAUGUUGCAUCUCCAUUUGACCAAGACUGAGAAAAAAAAAACUGUAUUACCCCUUAAGAAUACUGCAAACAUUAAAACAUAAAUGUGCUGCAACCAUACUGUAUGACUUCAGAAACUCGUCUUACUGUCCUUCCGACAACGAUACAAGUAGACAAGAUUUGUUGCUGGCCAUCAAUGAACAGAUAAACGUUUAGAGACAAUGAAACGUCAACAGAAUUUGAUUACGCAACGUCAUUUGCCAGACAGGUUUACGGCCGCAACGUCAACUUCUAAUCAAAUUGCCGAGUGCCAUUGAGUAGAGAUUCAUGCCAUAAAUGAACUGAAUUGCCAAAGAAUCGACUGAAGGAAAACCUUAAAAGCCCUCAAGUUCCGACCGCAUAAUUGCCAAAACCAAUUAAUGGGUUUAACAAAUGCAAAACCAGAAGGUGGAAAAAAGAACCCAAAACAUAUCAGACAGACUUUGUUGACCUUUGUGACAAUUAUUUUAGCGUUUGUAACAUGCAGUCAUCGCUUUUGACGGGGACACAUUCAUUCAAAAAUAACACAAAAAUAAUCUAGUGUUGCGUUUCUAAAGCCGGUCAGUAUAU